GACAACAGGUAAAAAGCUCUUCAAACAUAUUUGAAACCACAAAAUAGUCUGGAAAUGUAGAGGAGCAGCUAACCUAAUCUAUAACUUUGAGCUUGCUACAGCUGGUUAGCCUGCUAAAGUACCAUUACAUCUCCAACAUAGUGUAUAAGAGUCUGUAAAUGAGGACAAAGGUGAAAAACAUUAAAGUAGUUUCUGUUAUUUUUUGAGUUGGUUCAGCCACAGUGGCAGGUGGACAAAAAAAGUUAAUUUCCAACCCUGGUUACAUAUAAGGACUGUUCACAUGUUUAAACCAUGCUCCUGCAAAUUUAAAGUUAAGUCAGUACUAACAGGUGCAACUAUGUACAGGUGUAAAUUCUGCAGCAUUUGUACUUCAGAAUUUACAGAAUUUUGUAGUCAUGUGAAGAAACAUCAACACACAGCUAAUUAUCGGUUUGCAUGUGGAAUAGAGCAAUGUCCUGCUUCCUUCAGAACAUUUUCUGCAUUCAGGUCCCACAUGCACAGGAGUCACCGCCAUUGCAGAAGUCAGACUGAACACUUGUGGAAUGUAAUGCUUUAAAAAAUGCAUUUAGCCCCACAAACUGUCAUUCACAUCCGCUGUUUCAGAGUGGUAGCAGGAUGUAGGGGUAAAGUCUAGUCUAGUCUCCGGGAUGAGGUUCUCAAAAACCUGUUGUAAUCUGGGUGAACUGGCCCUUUAAAUAUAAAUUACUACCAGUAAUUCAUAUUUAAGAGAGUUUUCCUUUUAUGUUUUAAAGGUAUCUUCCGCCAAGAUGUCUGUUGAAAUGGAAAUGACCUUACCCACUACACCAAGGGUAAUCAUGCUUGGAAAUAGCUUGAUGUCUGCAACCCGGUGGAUUGUCAGUAUGGAGGAGAAGGUAUUUUUCGAGCCUGAGCAACUACAUGACUUUGCCAGCGUCCUUGUUGUCUUUUUUGGGUCAUAUUAUGUCUUCAAUCUGGAGUAUCAGGAGUCGGCAUCAACCACGCUGGAGAUGAUACAAUGGCAAAUUCUUUGUGAGGAUCAAUCCAGAUGUUGGUACCAAAUGCACAGCCAAAGUCGGUACAAGCCGCAACGCGGGAAGUCUUGUCAAGAGGAAAGUAGUCAGUGUCAACUCCCAGAUCACCACCUUCUUCCAACAACUUGCUGAAUUUGAAUGGAGGACUUCCAGCUAGUUCAGCUUCCACAAGAUGGAUCCCACUGCUUUUGUUUGACGAAUGGAAUAAAAGUUCUUCUGAUGUAGGAAAUGUGUUCUAUGGUUUUGUUGUUUUAUAGCACAUUAUAUUGUAUUGUGACAUUGUUCUUUAUGACAUUGCGAAUAUGUAAAUGGAUUUUAUUUCUACAAAUCUGCUGAAAAUAAAUACCUGUUAUUCACAGUA
This is a long non-coding RNA of Xiphophorus couchianus (Monterrey platyfish), 1371 nucleotides long. RefSeq lists it as uncharacterized. The record is from RefSeq and is a predicted model, not a curated record. NCBI's taxonomy places the organism in Eukaryota, Metazoa, Chordata, Actinopteri, Cyprinodontiformes, Poeciliidae. The transcript is spliced from 4 exons.